UACGUAGGUCCCGAGCGUUGUCCGGAUUUAUUGGGCGUAAAGCGAGCGCAGGUGGUUUAUUAAGUCUGGUGUAAAAGGCAGUGGCUCAACCAUUGUGUGCAUUGGAAACUGGUAGACUUGAGUGCAGGAGAGGAGAGUGGAAUUCCAUGUGUAGCGGUGAAAUACGUAGAUAUAUGGAGGAACACCGGUGGCGAAAGCGGCUCUCUGGCCUGUAACUGACACUGAGGCUCGAAAGCGUGGGGAGCAAACAGG
Molecule: ribosomal RNA, 252 nt
Filed under: uncultured bacterium
Lineage: Bacteria
Description: partial 16S ribosomal RNA
Rfam family: Bacterial small subunit ribosomal RNA
Source: RNAcentral